CCCCCUCAUGAGAAAACCAACCCAUGGCUGUUCUGCUUCAUCACAUCAAUGUCAACAAGAUACUUAUUAUCCUCUAAAUGGAGCUAGGCAUCACAUUACAACCACAAACUCCGUACUCCUUAAUAUGCCUGUGAUGAAGCAAAUGAACAACACAUGGUGUUGCAAUAGAAGAAUGUGACAUGGCAAAUACCAAGGUAAAAGUUGUAUGAUACUCUUUCAUACUAACUUUUAAGUUUCAUGAAAGAAUAGAAGUGUAGCCAUCAAUUAUUUGGCAAUGCAUU
Molecule: unclassified non-coding RNA, 281 nt
Filed under: Hevea brasiliensis (rubber tree)
Lineage: Eukaryota; Viridiplantae; Streptophyta; Magnoliopsida; Malpighiales; Euphorbiaceae
Source: RNAcentral